UUNAUCCUGGCUCAGAACGAACGCUGGCGGCGCGUUUAAGCAUGCAAGUCGAGGGGUAGAAAGUCUUCGGACUUUUGAGACCGGCGAACGGGUGAGUAACACGUAGAUAAUCUGUCUCUGGAUGGGGGAUAGCCCAUGGAAACAUGGGGUAAUACCGCAUAAGCUCUCUUUUUCAUAAGGAGGAGAGAGGAAAGGCGCUUAGGGGUCGUCCGGAGAGGAGUCUGCGGUUCAUUAGUUAGUUGGUGGGGUAAAGGCCUACCAAGGCGACGAUGAAUAGCCGGCCUGAGAGGGUGAACGGCCACACUGGGACUGAGACACGGCCCAGACUCCUACGGGAGGCAGCAGCUAAGAAUCUUCCGCAAUGGGCGAAAGCCUGACGGAGCGACGCCGCGUGAACGAAGAAGGCCUAACGGUUGUAAAGUUCUUUUCUUGGGGAGGAAUAAGCCUUGCAGGGAAUGGCAGGGUGAUGACGUUAACCGAGGAAAAAGCCCCGGCUAAUUACGUGCCAGCAGCCGCGGUAACACGUAAGGGGCGAGCGUUGUUCGGAAUUAUUGGGCGUAAAGGGCGCGUAGGCGGCAUAGCAAGUCAGGUGUGAAAGAUCUCAGCUCAACUGAGGAAACGCGCUUGAAACUGCUGUGCUGGAGUCUAGGAGGGGAAGCUGGAAUUCCUAGUGUAGGGGUGAAAUCUGUAGAUAUUAGGAAGAACACCGGUGGCGAAGGCGAGCUUCUGGCCAUAGACUGACGCUGAGGCGCGAAAGCGUGGGGAGCGAACAGGAUUAGAUACCCUGGUAGUCCACGCCGUAAACGAUGUGCACUGGGUGUCGGCCCGUUGGGGUCGGUGCCGAAGCUAACGCGAUAAGUGCACCGNCUGGGGAGUAUGCUCGCAAGGGUGAAACUCGAAAGAAUUGACGGGGGCCCGAACAAGCGGUGGAGCAUGUG
RNAcentral lists this ribosomal RNA (938 nucleotides) under uncultured organism. RNAcentral's name for it is "bacterial SSU rRNA". It matches the Rfam family "Bacterial small subunit ribosomal RNA", at positions 13 to 943 of the family's 1533-position model. The record is from RNAcentral.